Molecule: ribosomal RNA, 1016 nt
Filed under: Campylobacter jejuni
Lineage: Bacteria; Pseudomonadati; Campylobacterota; Epsilonproteobacteria; Campylobacterales; Campylobacteraceae
Description: partial 23S ribosomal RNA
Rfam family: Bacterial large subunit ribosomal RNA
Source: RNAcentral
AAUGAGCCUGCGAGUUGUGGUGUCUGGCAAGGUUAAGCAAACGCGAAGCCGUAGCGAAAGCGAGUCUGAAUAGGGCGCUUAGUCAGAUGCUGCAGACCCGAAACGAAGUGAUCUAUCCAUGAGCAAGUUGAAGCUAGUGUAAGAACUAGUGGAGGACUGAACCCAUAGGCGUUGAAAAGCCCCGGGAUGACUUGUGGAUAGGGGUGAAAGGCCAAUCAAACUUCGUGAUAGCUGGUUCUCUCCGAAAUAUAUUUAGGUAUAGCGUUGUGUCGUAAUAUAAGGGGGUAGAGCACUGAAUGGGCUAGGGCAUACACCAAUGUACCAAACCCUAUCAAACUCCGAAUACCUUAUAUGUAAUCACAGCAGUCAGGCGGCGAGUGAUAAAAUCCGUCGUCAAGAGGGAAACAACCCAGACUACCAGCUAAGGUCCCUAAAUCUUACUUAAGUGGAAAACGAUGUGAAGUUACUUAAACAACCAGGAGGUUGGCUUAGAAGCAGCCAUCCUUUAAAGAAAGCGUAAUAGCUCACUGGUCUAGUGAUUUUGCGCGGAAAAUAUAACGGGGCUAAAGUAAGUACCGAAGCUGUAGACUUGCGCACAACUUAGAUUAUUUAAGUUUAGAAUAUGAGAAACUAAGUUAUAUUUUUACUGAUUUUUAUAGAGUAAAGAUAGAAAUAAAACUUAGUAAAAUCAGUAAAAAUAUUCUUAGGCUAAAGUUAAGUAGUUUAAGUUGUGUGCAAGUGGUAGGAGAGCGUUCUAUUUGCGUCGAAGGUAUACCGGUAAGGAGUGCUGGAGCGAAUAGAAGUGAGCAUGCAGGCAUGAGUAGCGAUAAUUAAUGUGAGAAUCAUUAACGCCGUAAACCCAAGGUUUCCUACGCGAUGCUCGUCAUCGUAGGGUUAGUCGGGUCCUAAGUCGAGUCCGAAAGGGGUAGACGAUGGCAAAUUGGUUAAUAUUCCAAUACCAACAUUAGUGUGCGAUGGAAGGACGCUUAGGGCUAAGGGGGCUAGCGGAUGGAAGU